UCGAAAGUUUUUCAAACUUUAUCUCAAUUACACAGUUGGUCCAGUAAAAGACACCCCAUUUAAGACAUCCUUUAUUAAACUGAAUGUUUCUGCAGAAAAAAAUAUUGUCUCUUUUGAAUUUAGGGGAGAAUUAAAAGAAAAAAAACCCUUCAAAAAAAAAAUCAAGUUUCCUAAAUCAGUAUUUUUCUAAGCAAGGAAGAGCACUCUUACUCUGCCAGCCAAGCAGGAGGGUGGGCACUGAGGGAGGACUAUUUACAAAGCCAAGAAAAAAGAGAGCUCCUGUCUGCUUUUACCUCCCUGAUCUCUGCUCAGCCUGGCUUCUGCCUUUGCCUGCAUCAUAAGUUGUACUGUGUCCUGUGCCACCAAGAGCACAAAGACUGCUCCUUUUAAACUGAACUACUCCCAGCUUUUAAAAUGUCAAUUCUAACACCACAUGCAAAUACGGACCUCCUGGGCGAGGAGUUUUGCACAGAUGAGCUCACUGCUUGGAGAAGCAAACUGCUGGGUGGUGGGCACAACACUCCCUCUUUUUGUGUGUGGAAGAAACCUAGGUGGACGACAAUGAAGGAAUAUUACCUAUGUCUGCUUUUAUUCUUGCUCAAAGGCUGGUGUUGAGAAGAUUAUGGGCUGAAUUCAUUUUUGGUUUCACACUGAAGUCAGCAGAGUUAGACCAGGGCUGUGUUUGGCGGUAUUUCUGUAUCCUGCAGUUCAGCAUGGAAUAUGUCAUCGUUUGACACAGUGUUCAGCAUGUUUAGUUGUAUAACUGCUAGAACAGAUAAAGAAUCAGCCAAGCAAACAAUGAAAUAUGAAAACGGUUCUCGUAAAAACAUCCCAGCCUCAGGGAAUGCAUCUGCCAAGACUGCUCCGUGGUGACAUGAAUGGACACAGCAGUUAACUGCACUCCAAGCGGAGGGAGGAUUACAAGGAGGUGGGGAAAGCAAAAGAAGCCAGUGUGAUACUGCCAACAACAGCAGGUUGCAAUACUUAAUCUCAGGGCUUGUGCCAAUGUGCUUCGAAGCUGCUGUUGUUUUUAUGAGGAAAAAUGCAGAAAAGACUAAUCUGUGUAUUUAUGUCUGUCUGGAAAUGUUAUAAGUGCUGUGCGGUCAUUCCCAUUCCAGAACCAAGGGGUCGGUAUUCCCAUGAUGUGCAGACUGGAAGAUGCUGCCAGAUCUCAGCUCCUGCGCAUGGUAGCAGAGACAGAGAGAGAGCGGGAUUUUCCUGGGCUGAUUUAGUUUCCAUGAGACACGGGAAAGGAUGGGCCAUAUGAUUAAGGUGCUGAACUGUUACUUAGGAUAGCUGGUUUCAAUUCCCGGCUCUGCUCACCGUUGUGACUUCCCCCAUCUUCUUUUCUCAGGUGGAGGUGUUGUGAGCAUUCAUUAAUGUUUGCAGACUGCUUAAACUCUAUGGUGAUGAGUCCUUAGGAACGUGUGGCUGGACAUGUAAUUCUUCAUCUCUUGUUCUAAAGACUGUCAUGCCAUUACUCUGUGGUGUUCAAACAUUUACCAUGCUCUUCCCAAGAAAGAGUUGAUAUUAAUUGGUGUUGUGGGUGGGUAAAAUUACUCUUGCAAGUAUGUAUCUCAAAUUAGUUGUAAGUGUGCCAUAGUAUAUAGAAUAAAUGUGGGCCAUAAAUCAUCAUUAACAUCUGCUGGAAAAUGCAUCAGUGCCCCAGCAAUUUUAGCUUACUUUGUCAGAGUGCUUGACACAAGCCCUGUGAUCCACAUCAUAUAGUACAUACAGGAUACAGUAAUCUAUAACACUGCCUUUCCCUGAUUAUUUUUUCAUGCAAACUUUGCCUUAAUGAAUUUGUCAAUAUCAAGCAACUUUCUUUCCCCAAACAAUGUUGUUGGUAAUCCACAAGUUGUUAUUCUUGGAGCACCGGUUUAACAAAAGCCAGUCUCUUUGUCAGAAUUUUGCUGCUUUCAUAUUUUUAUUGCAGAAUUGCACAAAAAUAUUUGGCUUGUCUAAUCGUAACUGGAUGACAUGGUAUAUAUGGUUGACAAUGUGUCAUCUCAUUAUUCCUACAAAAAUAAACUUUAGCAGGGUUUUCUUCACCUUUGUCCCCUGGCAUUCUGUUAAUUCAAAUUUGAGAAUGCGGAAUGGAAAUGAAACUUUCCUAAUAACACAAAACAAAUGAGUGUCAUCUAACGGCAGCCCUAUAAGAGUAUCAUAGUUCAUUAAUCUAUAUGUGUGUUUAUUAAUCUCUCUGUCUUUUUAGCUAUAUGGAUCUAGAUUUGCAAAUUGCACUGUACUGUACAGCUAGCAUCUGUAGCUUCAUAGAUCUUAACAACAGAGGACUGGAAGGGACCUCUCUGGGCCUCAGGUCCAGGUCCUGCUAUUUCAGGCAACUACCUCAUAUAAGCCCUUUCACAAGAGGGAUUUAAGGCUAGACCUGUAUGAUUCUCUAGUCUGCACAACACAGGCCAGAGAGCGAGCUAGAAAGGCGUCUCAUCUUGAUUUACAGAAUUCUGUUGAUGGAGAGACAACUACGAUCUGUGAUAGAGACCCUGAGACACAGUAGAGAAGAAGUGGCUCGUCCAAGGUCCCAGCAGGCAAAGCUGGCAAAGGACUCUUGCUUCCUUGAAUCCCAGUCCAGUGUUUUACCCAUUAGGGACUCUCACAUGUGUGGGCACGUGCACGUGCAACCACCUGCACACACACCUCCACAUGUACAGCCCCCUAAUGCACAGACAACUUGGCUCAUGAAAUGCUCAGAAAAAGCUUGAUUGAUCUUGAACUCAAGAUCUGGGUGGAAUUUUACAGCAAAAUUGUAGAUUUUUUGCUAUUCUUCAGCCAAUACUGGGCCACUCUCUGCUAAAAAGAAGGGAGACUCCACAACAGAAGAGCUCUAAGAAAGAGAGACCCAACUGCUUCUUUAAAGUUGAAAGGCCCAUUAUGAUGCUGAAGACUGUUCUCAUUGAAGGCAGUGCAAGUUUUCCAUUAACUUCAACAGGAGCAUCUUUUUCAAGAUACACCGUGUGACAUAAUGCCAUCGUCAGCAUCUGAUUAAGUGAACUUGAUUUCACAAAAGCUUAUGCUUUCUAUAUAUAUAUCUUCUUUGUUAGUCUAUAAAGGUACAUAUUUACCCUGCCUUCUGACAGACUUCAUACUAACAUGGCUGACUACGUCUUUCGUAAUUUGAAAGACCUGCAAGAAAUGAACUGUCUUAGAAAAUCAGUAGCCCAGAUUUCAGCUUUUUAUCUUUUAAAAGAAUUCAUUUGCUUGUCUUUAUUAAGGAGCAUGAGGUGGCAGCCUCAAACCAGAGGCCACAGCUUGACCAGUAUAGCUGCUUAUCCUACCUGCUACCCUACAGCUGGUCAUGCAGGUUGGUCAAGGCUGUCCUGAAGCCUCCACCAGGGCCUAGCCCUCUGGCCACUCACUGGCACUCGAGUGGCUGGCCAGGGUUAGCCGAUCCUCCUCUUUCCCCAUAUAAACCCCUGCACAGGAACAAGAAGUGUCUGGACAACAGGAUUUAACUUGAUCUUACAUUGCUCCCUGCUGUUCCUAGAUCUUGCUCUUGGCUGAGCUCCUGGCUUCCUGACCGAGCCUGUACCUGGAUUCUGUUCAUUUCUCUUGACCCUGGUUGGCAUCUUGACUCCCUGAGUGGCCCCAGACCUGGCUGCCCAUCACUUGGUGUGGCAAAGAGAGGCUGCAGUGUGAGGAGUCAGAUUCACGUUUUCUAUGCAUUGGGAAGUAUUCUGCUUCAUUCCUAAGUCAUAGAGAUAAGUAUGAAAGAUGGGUCCAAACAAGAAUCCUGGAGGGAGUGGCUUCUGGAGCUGUGGGAAAGUUUGGGUAUAGAUUUGUUUCCAGACCCAAACUUGCAGCAGGCCUCUUGGUGUAGUGAACAGAACUAGGAGCCUGAGUCCAAACUUUCCUUGUACUUGAAGGAAAGCUCAUCGCUCGUUCUUUGUGUAGUUUGAUAUUUGGGAUUUCCAUACCUUUUGUCACAACACAGUGCUGGACAAUCCUGACACAAUAUGUUCCGCCAUAUGUUCUGCCUGACACACAUGUUCUGCCAUAUGUUUAUUUGGAUAUCUCACCAAUAAAAAAAGUAGCACAUGAGUGAUGUUGUAGCAAGAAUUGUUGGGAUUGAUAUAUUUUAUUGGACCACUUGCAUAGUUGGGAUAGAUUUUAGACCAGCUUUUUGGAAAUAAAAAAGUCUCUGAGCUGACUACCUCUCUAUGCCUGAGGGAGGGUAUCUUGUGCCUAAAAUGUGGUCUAAAAUCUCUUCCCAGCUAUGCAGUUGGUCCAAUACAAGAUAUCACCAUAAAAAUCCUUGCCUUUCACAUCUAAAAAGGGCAAUUUUUUUAAAAUCCAGAAACUGCACCAUGUGCUUCCUGUUUCACAUACAUACAAGUACAAAUUUACUCUUUUUAGCUGGUUGCAGCCAUAGUUCCCUCUGAUUUGGUUUUCAGAAGAGAGGAUUAAUUUUGUCUGUACUAGCCACCACUACAAGCCUUGUCACUUGUAACACACCCUGCUGAAAUGGUUUGAUUUCUUAAGAGCUACAAGCCAUUGAGAUCAGGGAUUAUUUUCUCCUGGAAAACCUUCCUGAACAAAAAACAGUGUUUGUAAUCUAUGUUUUGGAGUAGCAAAUGGAUGUGUAACCAGCUAGGCUAGCCUUUUGCUUUCUAGUAUAAGAAUGCAGUAGCAGAACUAAGGGGAUGGAGGGAGACCGGGGCACAAGCCCAGGCACUGAGUUGGGGGUGUGUGUGCAAAAAUACAGCUGCUGCCAUCAAAAAGGCAAACAAAAUGUUAGGGAUUAUUAAAAAGGGAAUUAUGAACAAGACAGAAAGUAUCAUUAUGCCCCUUUAUAAGUCUGUGGUGUGCUUGUAUCUUGAAUGCUGUGCCCAGUGCUGGUCCCCAAAGGAUACAGAAGAGCUAAAGAAAGUACAGAGAAGGUCAACAAGGAUGAUCAGCUGCAUGGAGGGGCUUCCAUGCCCCUUCUGUGUUUCCAUAUGAGGAAAGGCUAAAGAGGUUAGACCUAUUCAGUCUGGAAAAGAAACUCUUGAAGGGGAACAUCAUAAGGGUUUACAAAAUAGUAAUGGUUGAAGAGAAAGUAAAUAGGGAUUUAUGUUGUGACAGGGCCUGCCUCUUUAAGAAGAGAUGUAUGAUAUCUGUGAGGCAUGGGUAUUGGGGAGGAUGGAGCCCACAUAAUUAGCCCUUAAGACGAUGAGCCGUGACACUUGGGUUAAUCAGUAUGAGAUCUUGCUUGGGAACCUCUGGGGCAGCCUUGCUUUUUCUAAAAGAGAAAUACCUGAAAGUGUAGCAGGCAAGGGGAAAGGGAGAUUGCCCAAAGACAGCAACAUUGAUAAGGGCUGAGCGGUGCCGGGGCAUCACGGUCACCCCUGGAGUGGGGACCCUGUUACAUAUGUACUGUCUCUCACAAUACAAGAACUAGGGGUCACAAAAGAAAACUGAUAGGAUUUGGCCACAUGGGCUCCAUAAAAAUACCUGAGCAAAAAUUGGCAUAACUUUUGCCUGAAAUCUGAAAGUGGAUACCUGGCUGGGUAAACCCAUCUGAAUCCAUAAGUCACUUCCCAUAUGUUUGUGAGUUUUUAUGGGCAUCAGUUGUAGACCUGCAGGUUCCUCAUGACUUGACUGCUUCAACCAAGUAUGCCCUCUUCACACAAUGUCCAACCUCUCCUCCCUGAUUGACUAUUUCCACUCUCCCUCAUCCGUUCACUCUCCCUUCCUCCAGGACCUCACUAAAAUCUUAGCUUGGUACCUCUCUUUAGCAAGAGUGUGAUCAAUGUGCCUUUUCCCUGGAGACAGGUUGGGAAAGGGUCCAAGCAGAGCCCAAAUGAUUUUCCAGGCAUGGGAUGAAAGAAACACAAGAAUGCACACACGCCCAAACCGUGCUGCCACCUCAUGGGUGCUCCACGGUGAAACUAGGGCUUUAGUAUUGCUCAUUAGAUGCAGAGACAUUUGCUUGCUGGCCAGAACUGUACAAAUGCCUCCUCAUUACAGUUCUGUUUUUAAGGGCUGCACACAAAAAGGCACAGAACUGGGAGUGUGAGAAAGAUGUGAGCAGUUUGGGCUGUUGUAUAUCCAUAACUAUAAGCCUAAACCCGAAGUUUGAGUUCACAUUUGUAAUAUUCUGUCUCACUCUGUCGGCUCAGGGGCAGUCUGCUGCCGAGAGAAGCUUGAAGUAGCGUCCAACUAUAGCAGGUGAAUUUUCCCUUGUUAAUGCUUAAUUGUUUCCAAUAGCAAUCCUACCAGACACUGCUCCGUCUCGACUGGAAUCCGCUGGAGCUGGAGCUCACUCAGAAAGUGCCUCAGCUCAAUCACUUGUUUUUAGAUUGUCUGCGAAAAAAGAAAAAAAAGAAAAAAAGAAAAAGAAAAAAGAAAUCCCAGGAAAAAUUAACAUUUCUGAGAACGAUGGUUGUUUGCUAUUUCAUUUCAAUUUUAUAUAAAAUAUUUGGGUUGGCUGGAGUGGGGCUGCCAGGUGGCUAAACAUGCCGAGUGAGUGCGGUCAGCGCUUGGGACACGCAUGGGGCUAAAAGCAUCCAAAAAAUUACUUCUGACCUUCAUUUGGUCUGCCAAUCACUGCUGGCUGCUCUUACAUCACAUUUUUCAGCAGCCAAUAAUGGAUUCAUAGAAGUUAGGGAUGGAAAAGACCCAUUAGAUCAUCCAGUCCAUUUUCCCCUGUUCCCCAAAGGUUAACCCAGAACCGUUCCCAUUAGUAUAUUUGCUAGUGCUGUGUCCAGUCUCAUUUGAAAUGACGCAAGUGAUGGGGCUGCCAGCAUUUCCCUCUGGGAAUCUAUUCCGCAGUCUAAUGGGGUUCAUUGUUAAAUCUUUCCUGAUAUUCAGCCUAACAUUUUCUUUUGCUUAGUUUCAUCCCAUUACCCACUUGCACCACUCUAAACAAUUCCUCUCCCUUUCUCUUGUCUGGAACAAUAGUCCUUUGUACUUCUCAAAUGCCUUUCAGCUGAGAAGCCAACAGAGGUUUGCGAAAGUGAAUUCUGUUGUACCCAUUUCACAUAUGAAGAAACUGCAGCACAGAGGUUAUGGGACUGGGUGAUGUGCCCGUCUGGGUGAUGACUAGAAUCAGGAAUGAUUGCAAUUACACCUGGCUCACUUUUCCAGGCAUUUGGUACCCAGCUUGCCACAAGUUAUCAUUGUUUCUAAAGGCCCAUUUUUGCCUUUCCAGUUUAAGCAACAAGGAGAGAGUUGAAAAUGAGUAGAAAAAAAGAGGGAAAUAUCUCAAAGUUAAAUAUUAUACUUAGCAAUUUCUCUACACUUCAUUUUAUGAGGUGGUGAUUUUGAAGGUCUCUCUCACCUUUCACCCAUAAACCCCCUCUUGUUACUGUUUAUAGUUCACAUCCUUUCAGGUGUUUUUCUUCUGUAUUCACAACGGGCAGGUUGCUAGUAUCCUCUGACUAGAUAAUAUUCCCAACCAAACUUCAGGAAGUAAACAGAUUUUUGUAGUAGUUUGAAUUAAGCAACAAGCUACGCAGCUGGAUCGCAUCUCUGUGACAAGUUGAACCAAAGUCCCAAAAUGGGCUUUGAGGACCAGCCCAUGGAUGGUCCAAAGCAGCAGUUCUUUCUUAUAGUCGAGUGUUUUCAAAAUAACUUUCUGACCUUUUGGAUGAGAUCCUAUUAGCUGGGAGACAUUCAGCACCCUCGGUGGAGGUGCUUAUUGAAGUAAAUCAAAUACUAAAUCUGCAAUGCACCUCUACAUAAACUUCUAUUAAUUUUGAUUUAAGGCAUUCUUAUGUGGCUAGGGCCCAAUCCUAUAAGGUCCCUUGAGGACUGGGCCCUCAGAAACUAGAGAUGGAAAAGACCUACAAGAUUAGAUCAUCUCGUUCAUUCCCUUGCCAAUGCAAGAUUGUUCCCCACAGUAUAUUUUCCAGUGCUUUGUCCAGACUGGUCUUAUUUUUAAAUGAUUCAUAUGAUAGGGUUUCCUCCAGUUCCAUUGGUGACUGGAUAAUUGCCAGAAAAAAUUUUAGAACACUAUUUUUUUUCAUACUUUGACUUUUCUAUCUUUGGAUCAUCCAGGAUUGUGAGGGCUGCAAUUUGUACUGAACAGAACUGGCAGUAGAUUCACUGGCUGCAGAGGCAAGUUUAAGGACUUUGCUCUGACCUCCCAAGACAGCCAAAUCCCCAAAGGAAGCCAAUGGGAGUGCUGCUUGAGUGAGGACUUGGGGUUGGGCCUUCAAAGCGAAACUUCUCCACGGAGGACAGAUGUGGAUUAUUUUGCAAACACCUUUGCAAGCUUUUCUAUUAAUGGUUGUGGUAAAGCUAGGAUUUAUGUCCUAACGGUUGAACUUUGCAACUGGUGACUGUGACUGCUUUCCUAUUUGAAUUUACACUGACAGUUGAAUUUCAGGGGAGUAUGCUGGGCCUGUGACCAAACAGUGCUCGCCAAAUAGCGGUGGAGGAACUAGACUGCCUGGGUGCGUUGCUGAUUGCUGUGCCUCUUGCUCUAGUGUACUGUGUCAUAAACACUUCAGUUAUUUAUUACUGCACAAUGUUCUUGCUCCCUUACAAGUUGUCAUUGUCCUGCGUUCUGUUUUGAAGCCUUGGAUACAGAUGUUCAUGUUCUUGCUGCCUUGAAUUUCAUUGGGAAUAAAUUAUCUUGAAAAAAGAGUGGGAGGAAGUUUAAUGACUAGGUUUACAAGGCUGUCAGGACUUGGUGGAUGAAUUUUCUGUCAGCGGUUACGACACACCCUGAACUCUCCAGCGGGAUAAUUCCCAGCAGGGCUGUACCCCAGGGUAAAGUCUCCACCCUGCUGAAAUCAAUGGCAAAACACCUGCCGGCUUCAGUGGAGCUAGGAUUUCACCCCAUAGCUUUUCAUCUUGUUUCAGGCUCUUUUUUCUCCUUGUCCCUCCCAACCAGGAUUUCUUCUCCCUUUGGGCUCACUCCUGAUUCUUGUGGUUGCCCAUCUCCCUUUUUCUUUCAGGUCCUUCUUCCACUUCAAUGCACCCUGUAGGUGAAUUUGUGUGCGGUCCCUCCAGGAACCAGCACACACGGGACAGGGUGGGGGACCUUUAAGCCACUUUGUUGAUGGAGUUCUGGUCUGGGGCUGAAACAACUUGAUUGACUUAAUCGAGUGCUUUGCCCCCUGGGGUCACAACUUCCUUUCCUUGUUUGUGCCCUUGUGCGAAGCAGAAUUGACAGAUUUGUCGGGGUCUGACAGGGCUAUGCUGCGAGCACUUCUGCUGUGGCCUCAAUGUGUCAACUGUGCACCUUAGCACCCAUACCACCCCAGCCCCCUGAGUCCCUACUAAGGAAAGCAGCAUAGUAAGAAUCAAACUGGCUUAGCAAGGAAAAAAGACCGUGAGCAAAUGGCUUUACCAUUCAGAAAGUUAUGGAGGAGAAAGAGGGCCUCUUGAUGUGUUAUUGAGGAUCAGAAACAUUAACAGAGGAGAGAAAAUGUUGAGCCAACUGACAAAGAGAUAGUGGUUGAGGUCAGUAGAAAGGGUAACAUCAAAAGGGAAAUGGUGUGGCCUAAAAAGAGAGCCCUGAAGUGGGCACCCAUGGGAUAUAGAUUUGGGAGAGCAGUCACUGAAGAAGAUAUGGUCGGAAAGUAACUUGGCGAAGGCAGAACCACAAAAGAGAACAGGAUUCAGUUCCCCUGCCUUUGGGCAUGUUGGACAGGUGGGGCUGUUUUCAGUAGAAGUGGGGUCUUUGCACUUCUUAUUUCACAUCAGUCCCUGAAAAAAAUGAGCUCAGACCUGCUCUCUCUUGGCACAGUAAACUUAAUAGGUUUAAUAUGGAUUGCCAGAUAUCACACAUCAUUGUAGGAUAAAUUGCACUCUAGUGUGAUUAACCUUAAAAAGAAAGCUGAGUUUUCAUUGGCAUUGUUAUUUUCUUUUAAUUAAAUGAGUGGCAAAACAUAAUUUCCUCCCCUUUCUAUUAGCCAACUGCAACACAGUCUUAUCAAAUGAGAUCUAACAGUGCUUCGCCUCACUGUAUGUUCUUUCAAAGAUCACUACAUAUGGUUCUCAUUCUUUUUCCCAUAGGAGGUUGGAGGCUGGAAUAAUUUGUCUGUCGAUAUUAGGUUGGCACCUAGUUUUGUCCUGUUUUAGAAGCAGUCACCCAGCUGGUUUAGCAGAGUGGUUACAGAGAGGCUUUUAGCAGGUGACAUUUACAUACUCCUGUGUUACGUUACACUUCAUCUGUGUGUGCAUGGUAUUACUUACAUAGAUAAAAUGUGUGAAAGGAACACAAUGAACGGCUGUCCUCGAAACUUCCUAGCCCUGUUCAAUUACUGAGGCCUUUGUUACGUGGAGGAAAAGAUCAUGUGGCAACUUGUAUCAGGUUUAGUAGGAGUAAAAUUAUGAUUAUAAAUACUUUGGUCUGAAAAUAUAAUGCGCUGUUACCAGAUAAUCUGCAGAAUAAAGGAGGUAUUCAUUCAGUGUUGAUUGAAAUAGAAAACUGACCACAAAAUAAAUAACAGGAGUUCUGACACAAAUUAACCAAAGCAAGAUAAUUAAAAAUAGAGGCUGGCAACUGGCACAAAGGAAUUCAUUCCAGCUCCAUCUAUACAGUAGGUCACUCUUAGGUGUUAAGUUAUAUCUUGAACCUGCAGCGUGGUUAAUACUAACUUGACAGGUUUUGAUGUCAUUUCCUGGAGCAACUGUACCAGCGACUGUAAUCCACACUUGGACUUGCAUUAUUUUCCCCACAAAGAGCAGUUGCAUAUUUUUGAGUCUGAUGACUGUUAUUUUAGGUUGAGAUGAAGAAAACAUGGAAAUCCAUCACAGCAGAAGAGACUGUGUAUAUGUCUGAUUUCUCUGAACAGGUAGCAGCAACGUGUUGAACAAACUGACUGUGUAUCUUCUUCCGAGCAGAACUCGUAGAAGCUUGAAAGUGCAGGCCGUAUAUGGAGGAAAUAAAAGAGAUAUUGCAUGAUUUUGUAGCUUCAGAAUACAUACCAAAGAAGUCCCUUCUUCUGGAAGUCCAUAUAGCCUGUGUCUGCUAAACCUCAGGGAAGAGAAAAGGUUCAUUUAUUUUGUCUGGUAAUUAAUGGACAAUGUGACUGUUUUUUCCUAGUCUACUUAUUUAUAUACAGUUUAAUGGGGUUCAAAGUGGGCCAGUUAGAGUAGGCUGAGAACUUUUCGUCCAAAGUAUUUUGAUUAAAUAUUAGAUUUUAGAUUUUUUUUUGGUGAAUUAUACUAUUAUACUAUAUUUCAGUUCAUUUUUCAGUUUUUGGAUGAAAAGUUGACAUUCUUUGUCAGGGAGGAGUUAGCAUUCAGUUAUAAGUACUGACAGACAAACAAGAAACAAGGCCUGGUCCAAGGGAUGGCAGCAUAAACUGGCAAAACUUAAAUAUGCUUAUUGAAAUUAUGACUGUUUACAUUUAGCAUUUCAGACAUGCUCAUUAGAACUUUCUUGACUUUUUAAAAUACAUCUGUUUGGGAUGAUCCAGUAAAAGAUGGCCCAAUCCAUUUGCAAAACCAUUUGAGUUUUUCACAGAAGAGACCCUUAGACCAGCUAAUUUGACUUUCUGAAUAAAACAGGCUUUUGAGUUUAAGCCAUUUAGCUCAACACUUUGCACUGGCAAAAGCCUGACUUCCAGAAAGUAUUCUAAUCGUGCUCUGAAGACAGCAAGAAAUGGCAUUAUGGGCAAAGCUGGGUCAGAUAUAAAGUCAUGCCUGUUAUUAGCAAUUUUUGUUGGAAAGAAAUUCUAACUAGAGUUACUGUGGUUUUGAACACAACAUGGAUACCUUUGGCACAUAUGUGCAUUUUUGGGUAUAUACCUGAGCAUGGACAGA
Long non-coding RNA from Alligator mississippiensis (American alligator), 11721 nucleotides. RefSeq lists it as uncharacterized. The transcript is spliced from 4 exons. The record is from RefSeq and is a predicted model, not a curated record. NCBI's taxonomy places the organism in Eukaryota, Metazoa, Chordata, Crocodylia, Alligatoridae.